AAAAAAAAAAACUGAUUUCAGAAAAUUCAGAAAUUAUAAUUUACUUGAAUAAAAAAUUAAAAGAAAAGAUAAAAAAGAAUAAAAUAUACAAAAAAAAUUGAUUAAUUCAUUAGUAUUGAUAUCAGAAAAAAAAAUAAAAAAAACUUCAACUUGUUCAAGCUUCAGAUACAAUAAGAAAAAAUAAAAAAAAACUUCAAUUUUGGAAACAUAAAAAUUCAAUCUUUUCCCAAAACGUUUUCGAUAAAUUUUCAAUUAGAAUGAUAAGUCAAAAAAAAAAUAAUUACCAAUUCAAAACAAAAAUGUUAAAAUAACUAUAAAAAAAUAUGUAAUAAAAAAAUUCAAAAUUUAAGUAAAUAAAUAUUUAUUAUUAUUUUUAUAAAAUUUUGGUUUUUCUUAUUUUUAUGUUUGUAUUGUAUAAAACAAAUUGUUGUUUUUUUCUUAUUAAAAAUUUGAUUUGUUCUUUUGUUAUUUUUAAAAGAUUUCAUAUAUUGUUACGAUGCAUCGCGAUGGUGUGUGAAGUUACUAAAUCAAGUAUAUCCUUUCUAAUAAGGAAACUACAUAGCUGGAACCCUCAUGUUCCUAACGAGUGUUGAUGCUAAACUUUUAUUUCAUGCCACUACUUGCAACGAAUGCUUGACCCUAGUAGAAGGCUGGCAAGAUUUUCCAGUUGAGACGUAUGACCCUUCCAGCUUGUCCCACUCCUACAUUCACAUUGCUCUGCCAAUUCCCUCACGGAAAUUCUGGUUCUGAAGACCUAUAUUUUGGACAGAAAUUUUUGGAACAAUGAAAGAAGCAGGAGUAUGACGGUUUAUAAGUAUGUUUAAGUUGAUAGAAAAGUAAAAUUAAAGUUAGUGAGGCUAUUGGAAGUCCAAGGUGACGACCUUCAGAAGAAAAUCGUCCCCUUGAAGUAACAAUCUUCUUUAAUGACAUUUAGAGUCGUUCGUGGUAAGUGUGCGCAGCCGAUAAGUGUGCGCAUUGCUAUUUUCUCGAAACUUGUGUAAAAAAUUAAAUUUCUGCUAAUGCACAAUUAAUUAGAUACCUGAUCUUCGUCGAAGUCCGUUAUAUUUAAGCUUAUGUUGUUUUUAAUGUUUAGAGAAAAAGCAAAAGAAAAAAACGCUAACUUUCCUUAAAAUUUUUCACAAUUUUCAAACUCUGACAGUGAUCUGUCUUUGACUUAAAUCAUAAAGUGAAGGCAAUUGAUUUUUUUUAUUGAGCUUACUAUUUGAACUUUAUGUUCUAAUUAAAAUGUUAUUGUUUUUAGUAUUUAUUUAUUUAUAUUUUAUCAAAAACAAUAAAAAACUGCAUUUGGGGUAAGUGUACGCAAAAAUUUGGGGGCAAGUGUGCGCAUGCAAAUGCAUGGGAUUUCACUGAAAAUAUAUAUAUUUGCAUAAAAUGCUUCAAAAUGCAUCAACAUUUCACAGUGUACAGAAUGGAUCAAAAUAAUGAGAAAAUUGUAUGGGAGCGGGGGUCUUAGAUCCCUCGUUUGUCUUUAAAAAUUGAAAAAAAAAGAACAAUAUAUAUUCAUUAAGAUUACUAAGCAAAAGUUCCUGCGCACACUUACCGUACACCCUGCGCACACUUACCCCUUCGAAGGGGUAAGUGUGCGCAAUAUGACCUGUUUUGGUUUUCUUAGAAAAACCUAAUUAAUUUUAUAAAUAUUAGUUAUAUUUUAAUUGAAUUUAAGAAAUCAAAACAUGUAACUCUAAUAAUCAAUUUACUUUUUUUAUGUACAUACUAUAUUUUGCUUGUAAUACAUCUUCAAAGUCAAAAGUGCGCAUACUUACCACAAACGACUCUACAAAAAAAAAAAUACGUUGGGCGCCACACACUGGGGAUUUUGCGGAAAAAAGUCCAAAAUUUUAAGUACCUCGGAGAACAUUUUCUAUAGUAUUUCUAAAUUCUAGAAUAAAAUCUGAAUCAAAAUCAGAAAGAAUAACUAAAAUCGGACUUGUAGUUUACUUUUUAGAGCUUUAUAAAGGGACAAGUUGUUGAAAGUAUAAAAAACGAGGUGAAAAUACCCUGAAAUUGAAGCUGUGUAAUUUUUUUUGCUUGAGCCAAAUCAUAGACUUUUAUUUUUCCGUAAAGAUGCCAUCAUUUGUCUAUUGUAAGUCGAAGACAUUAUUAAUUUUAAAGAUGUUAAUUAUUUUAUAUAAUUAUUUAAAGAAAAGAGAAAAAAAUGGCUUGAUUUUUUCAUAUUUUUGUAUAUACAUAUAAUUUUAGCUACACUUCCCUACAGUUAGAGAUUAUUAAAAACAUUUUCCUUAUAAAAUUAUCUUUCGAUAGAAGCUCAAUUUGGGUGCCACCAGGUGCCACUGCAUUUUUUAUUGGCAAUUGAAAACUUCAUUUGGUCGCAAAAAUGAUUUUCUUAAAAAUUACAUAAAAUAACAAAAAGAAUAUAUUAAAAAUCAAUGGUAGCACUUACAGUUAUAAAUGAUACCUUUUUUAAAAGCCAGAAUAUUACGCAUAGUUCGAGCUUUAAAAUUAACUUCUUUAAGUUAAUUGUUUUUGAAAUAAUCGAUUUAAAUGUCAAAAUUUUGAAAAAAAAAAUAAAAAAAAAAACACAUCCAAUACUAUUUUUGACAAGACUGGGGAUUUAAAAACGAAAUUGAAUGAUGAAGAAAACUGCCUGAAUUGAUUCCUUACCAAACACUGAAAACCAUAUGUUUCUAUGUCUUCCGGUUUUCGUGAAAAUUGAAAAUCUCCUUUUUGUCAAAUUUUUAUUUUUUUGACUGCUAGAGAUCCUUAUCCGAAAAGUCAAAUGGAGAAAGUGAAAUUAAUUCGCAACACUUUUUUUAUAAAUCUACUUCAAUGAAAUUACCUACAUUUGAUUUUCUGACCUUGCUUCAGAAAAAUGAAUUUUCGUUAUACAUAGGUAUGUAGCUUGAAUGUUUUAUAAUAAUGGCAGUUUUUAGCAUUUCAUACGAAGAUCUAAGCAGAAAGCUCAUUGAAUGUCACAGAAUAGAUUUAAAUUGACAUUAUUAUUGAAAAAUACAGAUCCUGAAUCCUUCGCCCCACCUUUACUAAGAAGAAUCAGAGUCAUUUAAGUGAGUAAUGGCUCUCUUAACAGAAUAAACUCUUGAAAAAUUUGUGAUGCCAAUAUAUUUUAAAUUGCAUAAAUACGAUAGAAGUGGUUUUUUGAGUAUUUUUAAACUAUAAUUCGGGUUUUUCAUUUUGCGUGGACGUGGACCUAGACAACAGUAUAAUGAGUUAUUCGAGUUAUUCGUUUUCAUUUAAUGUAAUUAAAAUCGGUAAGGUGGUUCCAAUAACAUACACAAAUAAAAAAAAAAUGCUUUGCGUACAAGUAAAUUGUAAAUAGCAAUUCUUAAAUUUUCUAAGAACAAUAUCUGGAUCCUUUAUUACUCUUACAAUAUUUUAAAAAGGCGUGGCAGUGGGUGUAAAUGACUAAUAAUGAUUUCUUUCGACUAAAGCUGUCAUUCCUGAAAAUAUCAUCUAAAUCGAUUCAGUGGUUCAGUUUUUAUUGAGUUUUUUCCGCACUCCCAUACAAAUUUCCUCAGUGUGCGCCAUUGAAAUGAACUUAGUAUUUGGCCAUAGGGGCUCUUUUGGAGUUUUGAAAUAGGGCGGCGGCAUGCUUGUCGAUGCGAAUAUCUUCUAAACGGUUAAAGCAACCAAUUUGAUGCCAAGGACUUUUUUGUAAAACAUUUAAGCCCUUACAAUAAUCCAUCUUACUAAUUUAAUAAUAAUGACUUUUCAGUGAAGUAGAAAAUUUUGAAAAGUAAAAAAAGUUUUUAUAUUUUUGUUUAACUUUGACCUCGAAUAUCUUUCAAAUGGUUAAUAAGACCUUUUUUGUGGAACAAUCUGUUUCCUACAAGAAUAUGUCAUGCGCGUUUGAUUCUAUUAUAAUUUUUCAAUUUGUUACAAAAUUAAGAACAAAAAACGAAUUUUUAAAGAUUUUUUCGAUUUUUAGACCUCAAAUAUCUACUAAACGGUUAGAUAAUUCAAAAAAGUGUAUUUAACCUUUUUUAUAGAGCGUUCAAUUUUCUACAAGAAUAUGUAAAAAAAAUUGGCUAAAAAUUCAAUUAAUAAAAAAAUAUUUUUUUUUGGUAGAAGCUUGAUGUAAAAAUGGAAAAUUGAAGAGCGGAGGACCUUCCCAUUAAGAUAAAGAGCUCAUAUUUGGUGAGUAUAUUCUAGAGGUGUCUAACAAUCGAGUUUUCGAAGUACCAAAUCAAAAAAACGAAUUUCGAUUUUUUUUGACCCACCCUAAUAUAUAUAUUAGUUCUUCCUCGAAGGUCAAGACUUCUCUAUAUGUAUAUAUAUUUCAGGAUCUUAUCCUUCUUUCCCCUAAUUCUCAUUUGGUUCUAUUAAUUCAUUUUGGAUAUGGGAACUUUGAGAGCAGGGCAUCUAUAGUUCUUUUAUGUAUAGAAUACAAAUUAGAAGAGGCACUUUCCGUGUCCACUCUAAUUUGUGAAACCUCGGGAUCACCAGCUAGUACCUAUACAACAUAAAAUUUGCUAGAUUAGAUCACCACAGUCUAUGCCUAGUUCAAACUACAUACCUCUGCGUUUUUUUUUUUUUCUAUUUUCUUUGUAAAAUAAAUGUUUAGUUUGGUGGUAUCUUCUUGGAUACUGAGGGGUUCGUCGGUACUCCAAUAAUCUCACUUUUGAUAACUAUAAAUUUAGUUAAUUUUUAAUUUGACGUAUUUCUUUUUUUAAUUUUAUAUAACUACCUUUAGGAUUGGAUUUUUCUUUGCUUUCACUCAAUUUUGUAGCGAAAUUAUUUAUAUUGGCGAGAUGUUGUUACUGUAGGCUAGGAUUUUUACGAUUUCUUUUUUUCUGGGGCGUGGAUAACACUGAAGGAAAUCGAUUACAAACAACGCUGCUUUGCUAAACUCUCUACCACGUUGUAUGCUGUCCGAGGACCGCAGUACACGUUGAAUAGGCAAUGUAGCAAAUGAUUUUUAUUCUUCCCUUUGAAUGAAAACAAUGAAUUUAAAGUAUUAAAAAUUAACAACAAUUUUAUUGAAUUUAAAUCUUAAUUUUAAUUUAAUCAUUACAAAUUAUUCAUUACACUGUGCAAGUCGAAAUUCUUGACAGGUGCGCGAAUAACUGUUUCGCCCUAUUUCGGACCCGAGAAAUCCAUUGGCAUCAUUAGUUUUUCGAUUUAUCGGUACGACUUCGAACAAUUUUUUUUUUGAAAGUUUUUUCAAUUAUUUUGAGAGUUUCCCACUGUUUUUAGUCAUUUUCAACCAAAAACAAUAUUUAUAUUGCUAACAAUUCUGCUCAAACGUUAUUUGCUACCAGUCGAAAGACAUUAUAAACAAUUUUGAACAAUUAAUUUGAAAGUUUAGUGAUUUUUUGAAGAAAUUAAAAAAAAAUCGACAUUUUUUACAUUUAUCGUUUUUUCGCUGUUUUUGUUCUCUUUUGCACAAAUACAUUGCAUGUUUUCCAUUAAAAAUUAAAUUAACUGUUAAUUUAGUGUUGGUUAAACUUCGACAAUCUAUCGAUAGCAUCGAUAACAAAAAAAUAUCGAGUAUAUCGAUACUUCACAACACUAUCGAUAGUUUCAAUACUUCCAAAUUAUUUUAUCACAAGGCUACCGAUAUUAUCGAUAGCUUUGAAAUUAAUUAAACACUUUUUGAACUACAAGUUAAGUUUUCAUUUUACAUUGGAUGUAAACAACGAAUUAACAUUGUGUUUGGUAGAUAUCAAUAGUUUCCAUUGUCGAUUGUAUCGAUAGUUUUAAGAAAAAACUAUCGAUAAUAUCGGUAGCCUUCUGGUAAAAUAAUUUGGAAGUAUUGAAACUAUCGAUAGUGUUGUGAAGUAUCGAUAUACUCGAUAUUUUUUUGUUAUCGAUGCUAUCGAUAGACUGUCGAAGUUUAACCAACACUAAAUUAACAGUUAAUUUAAUUUUUAAUGGAAAACAUGCAAUGUAUUUGUGCAAAAGAGAACAAAAACAGCGAAAAAACGAUAAAUGUAAAAAAUGUCGAUUUUUUUUUAAUUUCUUCAAAAAAAUCACUAAACUUUCAAAUAAAUUGUUAAAAAUUGUUUAUAAUGUCUUUCAACUGGUAGCAAAUAACGUUUGAGCAGAAUUAUUAGCUACAUAAAUAUUGUUUUUGGUUGAAAAUGACUAAAAACAGUGGGAAACUCACAAAAUAAUUGAAACAAACUUUCGAAAAAAAUUUUGUUCGAAGUCGUACCGAUAAAGCGAAAAACUAAUGACGCCAAUCGAUUUCUCGGGUCCGAAAUAGGGCGAAACUGUUAAUCGCACACCUGUCUCAAAAAUUUUUUUCAAAAAACUUGCACAGUGUUAUUAUUAUUAUAUAAACUCAUGUGGCAACCAUGGCAAAUAAAAGAAGAAAAGGGAGAAAAGAAAAUGACAGCUAACCAGACAAGCUUUGUGUGGGCGCUUAGUGUAAACUCCGCACACUCCACCAGCCGAGUUGCUUUUGCUGAUCAAAAGAAAUAUGCUCUCCAGAUUAGCUUCGUGUGGGCGCUUAGUAUAAACUCCGCACACUCCACCAACCGAGAUGCAACUUCAGUUGAAUGUGUAUUGGUGUGGUUGCUCAUCGAUAUGUGGACGCUUGUAAAACGUUGCAUUGAAGAACGCUUGUGAAGCGUCGCACAAUAUGAAUGCGCAAUAACACCAAUACUGGUGAAAAAAAACUAAAAUUAACUAAAACAUGGAGCAGCGUGGACCAGUUUAAGUUAAGGUUGUGCUGGAUUGAUGAACAAUUAAAUUAAGACACUUUUAACAGAUUAUGUCGGUUAAAUUUAAUACAUUAAGUUAAGAUAUGUAUAUCUAUGAAGGAAUUAAUACACGCAUACCUUUAUAUGAAAAGCAUAUUUGCAAGAUCACUUGCAAUACAAUGCGAUGCAAUUAAUGUUUUGAUGAUGAUGCUUUCGUGGGUUGAAGCUUGAAGGGGUGCGUAAGUUCACCUCUUCCCCGAUAAGAUGUAUGGUAGUAUGUUUGAUAUGGUAGUUAGUUUUUAUUUUUAAGGUAUUAUUAGUAUGCUUAAUUAUAAGGUACAUUAGAUUAUGCAUGUUAGUUUUAAGUCAUGUUUUUUUUUUAAUGAUAAUGUUUUUUUUUUUUUGAUGAUAAUGAAAUGGCUCACGUUACACUUUCUGUUAUAAAUGAAACAUUUUUACCAAUUUUCAUUGAUGUAACAAUUUUUUUUUCAGUUUUUGUAGUACUAAUUCCAAAUUUCAUAAUUUCUUGAAAAAAAAACACCCUUUCACUCAAAAUAAUUUUUUACUUUUUAUAGAUUCUUAAUUCUUGUACCAACCAAAACUAUUUCACCAAGUUUUAAAAAUUAAUAAAAUAUAAGUUAGCUGUUAUGAUACACACAACUUAACCAAUCAAAAAAACACCCUUUCAUCCAAAAUAUUUUUAAAAACUUUAUGAAUCCUUUGUCCCUGUUUUAUCUUAAGAGCAAUCGUAUUGACUUUGUUUUUAUGUCAUUAGAUUCAGCAUCAAAAAAUAGUUUGAAAACAUGUGUCAUAUGAUGAUAUUCAACAAACAAUUUUUUUCAGUAUAUUUUUGACCUUCACCCCGUCCCUCUUGUCCGCGAAAAAACACCCUUCCACCCAACUUUUUUUUAUAGACUUUUUUUGUACUUGGUUCUUAUCCCAAAAGCAAACUUUUUGCUUUUAUAUAAGCCUUUGUUGUUUAAAAAUGCAUUUUUUACCUGUACUAAUAAUAGUUUUGGUCAUAAUGAUUUUGCUGUGGGACAGAAGCUAAAAGUGUGUUUUGAUUUGGAUAAUAAUAACUUUCCUGUUCUAAAAGCUGGUUUUCGCUGGUAUAAUAAUUUGUUUCAAUGUUAUGUAAAUGUUGGGUUUUAGAUUGAGGAUGGUUUGCAGACUGCUUCUGAGUGUAAGCAUUAGAAACUGACAUAGGCUCCGGUGGUGGGUAAGAUCUGGAGCUUGUACUUGUUUCAUUUCUUUUUUCAGCAUAAUGAACAAGUAAAUUGUUGUUGAUAUCUUUCCAAUCUAUGGAAAUACCGUACAUAUUUAGUACUUCAUUCGCUGGACCAAUUAUUUUAUUGCGAAUUACUCUAAGAACGAUAUUUGCAUAAUUUGUACCUGCAAUUUGUGGCAUUAACCCAAAAACCUCUUCAACAUUGUUAAUGAAAUCAAAGAGCAAUCGCGGAUUGCCAUCGAAAGUUGGAAUAUGUUUCACUGCGUAUGGAAUUCGAAGUGAAUUAAAGACUUCUAAAGCAGGUGUUUUAUAUUCAUCGUUAAAUUAUUGUUUAUAAUACAGUCAAAUAAGGAGAAAAAAGGGGUAAAUCUCGGAAUGAAUGUUAAUAUAAAUUUUGUUUGCUCAAUAUCUUCCUUUUGCCAUUCUAUAACAUAUCUCAAAAGUCUAGACAAAUCUCAUGUCCGCUUGACGCGAUUUCAAGGUCAAAUCGCGAAAUGGAGAUUUUCAAAAUUAGCAAAAAUAGGCUAUGGUAUUAUAUACACAUAUGAUACAUGAUUUCAAGGUAUUUUUUAAUGCUGAUUUCAAAAAAUCCAAAAUUGUCUAUCUGACGUCUCUGGAAAAAGUUAUACCUGUUUUUCAUCUGUCUACUAAUAUUAUUAUAACAGUUGCAAGCUUACUGCCGAAAAACCCUUAAAAGUUAUGGUAGAUGAACCAAAUUUUGCAUGAAGAUUUUAGAAUCCAUCAUUAUUAAACAUCAAAACAAUCCAUUACAAAAAAUAUAUAUACCUACGAAACAAUGGUAUUUUUUUAUGGAAGGGCAAAUUUUAGGAUAUGCACUAAAAAAGAUUCUUGUUCAUCUUAGGAAUAAGUGCUAAUAGGCUAAUUUUUUUAUUUUAAUCUUUGUUUGGAUAUUCUUUAACUACCCUCAAAAAUCUAAAAAAAUCUCAUGGCCGCAUUUUAGAUUUUUUGGAAUCAGCAUUAAAAAAUACCUUGAAAUCAUGUAUCAUAUGUGUAUAUAAUACCAUAGCCUAUUAUUGCUAAUUUUGAAAACCUCCAUUUCGCGAUUUGACCUUGAAAUCGCGACAAGCGGACAUGAGAUUUUUCUAGACUUUUGAGAUAUGUUAUAGAAUGACAAAAGGAAGAUAUUGUACAAAAAAAAUUUCUAUUAACAUUUAUUCCGAUGUUAAACCCUUAUUUGACAGGAUUAUUAUUAUGUUUAUUAUUGUUUAAAUUUAUUAUUAUAUCAAUUUGCUUUAAUUUAAAAUAUUUUUGCUGUAUAUGCCACUUGGCCAAAAAUUAGUAAAUAACCCUAUUUUUUGUUUUUGCAAAAUCAAAUGUAUACCUAAAAUCCUAUGCUUAGUUUUUUUUUUUGUUUGCAUUGAUGCUAAUGUUAACGUUUCUAUUCCCUUUCUUUGUUGUUUGUACACAUAUUGUUACAUAUGCAAAUAAUUUUGACGUUGUCAAUUAUCUUGAACUAAAAUCUUUCUCUUUCUAUAAUCAACCACCGAGGUAACAACUUCUUGUAAUAUUCGCUAAUAAAUUGUUCAACCUAUUAUCUAUUCGAAUGUUUUUUUUUCUGCGUCGUUCGCUUCAAUUUAAUUAUUGUCAAAUUACUUAGAUUCCUGGUGUGAUUAAAAUACAUCUUUUAUUAAAUAUAAAGAAUUGAUAAAUAUCAAGCGAAACACGCUUAGAAAGCCUCCAAGAUGCUUGGAAUAAAUUUAUAACUUUUAAGUUUUUCAGAACAAGAAGAUUACGUAGAUCCUAGUGAUGAUUUUUCGGAAUACGAAAGUAAAUAUUUCACUGCCCAACCAACCUUCGUAAAGGAAAUUCGCGAACGUAAAUUAUCUUCACCACCCGCUCCACCUACUUCCGCCGAAACGGUUAUCGAAAAGUUAGCUAGCCAGCAAGCUUUAUUUCUUAAAAAACUUAAUGAGCAAAAAAAAAAAAACGGCAUGUUCUAUUGCGUUACCUGAGCUGUCAAUUACGGUAUUUUUCGGUGAUUAUAAGGAAUGGCCCAGCUUCAGGGAUCAUUUUAUUGGCUCUAUAGAUAGUAACUCCGAUAUAUCUCAUACACAAAAAUUUCAUUAUUUCAUUAUCUGAAAUCUUUCCUAUGCGGAGAGCCAGCUAAUCUUAUUCGCGAUAUAAAGACAUCGGAUAUAAAUUAUCUUGAUGCUUGGGACAAAUUAGAGAAGCACUACGAUCGACAAAACUUUAUGAUACAGUCGCAUAUACAAUCGCUCCAGUCAAUUCCAAACAUUAACGCGUCUAAUAUUCAAUCCCUUCGUAAACUUACCUAUGCAGCCGAUGAAACAGUUCGAGGUUUGUACUCUUUGGGAGCCCCAUGGCGAGACCCUUGGGUCAUUUCUCUUUUAUCGUUAACAUUAGACCACGAUACCAAAGAGGCUUGGGCGCUAGAGGUAGGGGCAAGAUCCAAUGCAUCUAUUGAUGAAUUUUUAGUAUUUUUGAACUCCCGUUGUGAUGCUUUGGAGUCUGCACAAUUGCUUUCUCGUCCGACUACUCAAUAUCGUGUGAAGAAUCCAAAGCUCAUUCAGUCUCAUUUUGUGGAAACUACUACAAGCUGUCCAAAGAGCAAAGCAGAUCAUUCAUUGAACCAAUGUCCACAUUUUCUUUCGCUUGACACCAUUACACCUCGUUCAUUUGUUAAAGAAAAUUCAAUAUGUUUUAAUUGUCUUCGUUCUGGUCAUUCUUCGCAGAAAUGCCAUUCCAAAUUUCGUUGCCGCACUUGUCACGCGCGUCACUAACUGGUUCAUCCACAAUUUCCGACAACGGUCUCUUCAGGUCAUAACUCUUCGUCUUCUUUUCCUGGUACUUCCUCGACCAAUCCUAUAACACCAAAUUCUAUUAGCACAACAACUUCGCCAAUCUCGCUUUGCUCAUCGGUAGCUCAGUCAAUUAACUUACAUUUCAUUCAAACAACAAAUAAUUUAAUGAAUUUAGAAGCUGGUGCAAUAGAGUCAUCUCUUUUUAACUCUUUUUAAUGUAAAAUUCGUUUGUUUAUUUACUUUUUGUAAGAGAGCUAUUUUUUGUAAGCUAUGUAUUUAAUUUUGUAUAAGCGAGUUGUUUUUGUUUUUAAAUGUCAUUCUCAGCUUUGUUCGUUUCAUUUUGUUUUAUUAAACUCGCGCUGAAGAUGAACUUUCAAUUUAAGGUUCGAAAUGCAUUCGAUAAAAUAAUUUAAAAACUAAAUUUCAUCUGUGUUUUUAUAUUUUGUUAUCGAUUUUUUGCGGUCAAUAAGAAAUAAAAUUCAAUUCUAUAAAAAAUUAACUUACAUUCUGAGGUUCAUUCUCAAGUUCUAUUGCUCAUAGCUAUUGUACAAGUGCAUGAUAA
This is a long non-coding RNA of Episyrphus balteatus (marmalade hoverfly), 11217 nucleotides long. RefSeq lists it as uncharacterized. The transcript has 3 exons. NCBI's taxonomy places the organism in Eukaryota, Metazoa, Arthropoda, Insecta, Diptera, Syrphidae. The record is from RefSeq and is a predicted model, not a curated record.